AAACAAACCUCCAGUGAGUCCCUCAUUCAACUUUGUCUCAGCUCAGCUUCAAAGGGACUGAGCAGUAAACACACUUUCUUCACCUGAAAAUUGGUGAGCAAGGAAAAGAGCCUGCCCUGCCUAAUGCCUCUCUGCCCUGCCUGGCUAUGUGAUUUUGGGUAAAUCUCUGGGCUUCACUGGGUUUUAGUUGCCAGGUUUCCCCAAAUGUGCCCUCUCUGACUCUGACAUUUGAAGUCAGAGUCAUUUUCCUUUAAAGUCUUUUCUUUCUGCUCUUUUGGGGCAAGUUUUGGGGUGUGUUUAGACUCUUAUCCCAAGAGUUAUUGUGUUCUCUCGUGAUGAUGGCUCCUACCAUCUGAAAUUUGUACUUUUCUAAGCUCCUUGAUAGCCUGUUAAAUUCUGCCUUCUUGUCAGUUCUGGACAGAGAGUCUAGUGGUCCUUAU
Molecule: long non-coding RNA, 440 nt
Filed under: Marmota monax (woodchuck)
Lineage: Eukaryota; Metazoa; Chordata; Mammalia; Rodentia; Sciuridae
Source: RNAcentral